Molecule: long non-coding RNA, 420 nt
Organism: Xenia sp. Carnegie-2017
Lineage: Eukaryota; Metazoa; Cnidaria; Anthozoa; Malacalcyonacea; Xeniidae
Exons: 2
Source: RefSeq, a predicted model, not a curated record
CGAAAAUGGUUCGGUUGCCUACAACCUUGGCUUCAUAGCGAGUCUUGGUGACUACUCAGACUCUAGCGAUUCGGAAUCCUCAUCAAGCGACUCGGAUAUUUUACCAUCGCUUUUAAGUAACAUCGAAUCAACACCGACGAACUGAAACUUCAAAAAUCAAAUUCGGAAUUACAAGAAGGGCAUUCGCCAUCAUUUGGAUUUGACGUUAAGCUUUGGGAAAAUCGAAUGCUUUUAAGAUUGAACAAAAUGACAUUAGUAAAUAUGGCAUCAAGUUAACAGUUUGCAAAUUCCAUCAAUUGUAAGUUGUAAGUCAUGAUAAAUUUAAAAAUUGGAUCACGUAUUGUUUCAGCUGUGAAAUGAAAACUUGACAUUCGCGAUAGCUCAAAUAUUUCUUUGAAUAAAGGCACGUUUCGAAACAAA